AGUGAACAAUAUAUAAAUUAACUUGCUGAAGGUCGUGUAAUGAACUAAUAAGCUAAUAAAUAAAAAAUAAACAUGGCUAAAAUACUAUUAUUUAAAACUAUAACAAUUAAAGAAUGUAGUAGUGGCAUUAGGAAUAGUUUAACCAAUAUGGCAUGCAAAUGACUAAGGAAUAACUUGGCAAUUGAAAACUAUAAGAAUAUCUCAGAGAGUAUAGCUAAGUGAUUCUGUGUUUAACAUUUUCUAUUGUUACUGUUUUUGAUUCUUGACUGAAUCAGCACCUUGGACACAUUCAGUAAAUACUUUUUUUUAUUACUGAGUUACUUAUAAUCAUAGCUCUGCCUCUUUCACUUCCUAUAUAUAAACAACUACAAAUGAAUAAAAAAUUUAAAUAUUAAAAUAGAAUAUUUUUAUCAUCAUAGAUUUAGGAUAUUUUAGUAAUAUUUUAAAUCUUGAAAUAGUUCUACAAAAGAAUUGC
Long non-coding RNA from Perognathus longimembris pacificus (Pacific pocket mouse), 475 nucleotides. RefSeq lists it as uncharacterized. The transcript is spliced from 3 exons. The record is from RefSeq and is a predicted model, not a curated record. NCBI's taxonomy places the organism in Eukaryota, Metazoa, Chordata, Mammalia, Rodentia, Heteromyidae.